Long non-coding RNA from Bradysia coprophila, 316 nucleotides. RefSeq lists it as uncharacterized. The record is from RefSeq and is a predicted model, not a curated record. Lineage: Eukaryota; Metazoa; Arthropoda; Insecta; Diptera; Sciaridae.
UAGGAAGACAGAACUUCUUCCCAUCUUUAAGGAUCAAUAAUUGAAUUUUGUGCGAAAAGUAUGACUUCUACACAUCUUCAAACAGGUGAAUAUCUUCCGAUAUCUCCCGAACCACUGCCAUACCAUGAACAAAUGAACCAACUCGGACCCGUAAAGGAAGAGGAAACAAAUCAAGUGAAUGCUUGUUGUUUAUGUUGUGGUUUUUGUGACUGUGUCCUAUAUUGCUGCGAAUGUUGUCUAGGGGUUCUUGAGAUUGUUACUGCGUAGAUUGUGAAAUACCGAAAUAGUGGAAAUAAAGAGCUAUGAUAGUAGGAAA